This 465-nucleotide ribosomal RNA is filed under the name uncultured bacterium. Its description in RNAcentral is "partial 16S ribosomal RNA". It matches the Rfam family "Bacterial small subunit ribosomal RNA", at positions 28 to 507 of the family's 1533-position model. The record is from RNAcentral.
GACGAACGCUGGCGGCGUGCUUAACACAUGCAAGUCGAACGGAAAGGCCCCUUUGGGGGUACUCGAGUGGCGAACGGGUGAGUAACACGUGAGUAACCUGCCCUUGACUUCGGGAUAACUUCAGGAAACUGGGGCUAAUACCGGAUAGGAAUCCUUGCUGCAUGGUGGGGGUUGGAAAGCUUCGGCGGUUUUGGAUGGACUCGCGGCUUAUCAGCUUGUUGGUGGGGUAGUGGCUUACCAAGGCUUUGACGGGUAGCCGGCCUGAGAGGGCGAGCGGCCACAUUGGGACUGAGAUACGGCCCAGACGCCUACGGGAGGCAGCAGUGGGGAAUAUUGCACAAUGGGCGGAAGCCUGAUGCAGCAACGCCGCGUGCGGGAUGACGGCCUUCGGGUUGUAAAACGCUUUCAGCAGGGGCGAAGCUUGUGGUGACGGUACCUGCAGAAGAAGCACCGGCUAACUACGUG